This is a long non-coding RNA of Monodelphis domestica (gray short-tailed opossum), 636 nucleotides long. RefSeq lists it as uncharacterized. Lineage: Eukaryota; Metazoa; Chordata; Mammalia; Didelphimorphia; Didelphidae. The record is from RefSeq and is a predicted model, not a curated record.
AAUGGCAUUCAUCAGGAAAACAAAAUUUUAUAGCAUCCAAUUAAUUUUAAUGGACUGAAAGUAUGUUUGGUAUUGGUUUUGGUUUUUCCCAGAACAAGCCAAAACAUUUGGAUCAGCUGGCAAAAAAAAAAAAAUUACAGGGAGGAUAUAGAUGGAAGGAAAGUUAAAAAAAAAAAGUAGGAAACAAAUGGAAAAAGGGAAAUAAUUUACAGGUUUGGGAGUGUGUGCCCGACGUUGUGAAUUUCAGGAUGCCUUAGAAGCAGGACUAAAGAGCAGCUUAAUAAUUCAGAGAGGUCAUUUUUCCAGCAUUUAAAUUUGCUCUUCUGAGACACUAAAACUUUAUGGAAAAAAUGACAGUUCCAAUACUUUAAAAGGACUUUCAGUCAAAUCACUGCUUCAGAUACAGGUGGGACAUCGUGUGAACUCUGAGAUUCUGUGAUUCUAUCCACAGACUGAAAGGAAAUUCAGGAUCAAGCUGGUUAGGAUACUAAAAAAAAAAAAGAAAAGGAUAUCAACAUUUAACAGUUAUCAUCCCUUUAUCCAUAGAGGAGAAAACAUGGAUAAGAAUCAGAGAAAUUGUGACUUAUCUACCAUUAAGAAAUUAUAAUGCCUGGCAGAGCCAGAACUCAAACUUGA